This 434-nucleotide RNase P RNA is filed under the name Betaproteobacteria bacterium. Its description in RNAcentral is "RNase P RNA component class A". It matches the Rfam family "Bacterial RNase P class A". From Rfam's summary of the family: Ribonuclease P (RNase P) is a ubiquitous endoribonuclease, found in archaea, bacteria and eukarya as well as chloroplasts and mitochondria. Its best characterised activity is the generation of mature 5'-ends of tRNAs by cleaving the 5'-leader elements of precursor-tRNAs. Cellular RNase Ps are ribonucleoproteins. Lineage: Bacteria; Pseudomonadati; Pseudomonadota; Betaproteobacteria. RNAcentral also lists the same sequence under 1 other name. The record is from RNAcentral.
AAAGUCGGCCAGGCAAUCGCCGGGUGACCGGGGGAAACCCCGGCGCCGGGAGGAAAGUCCGGGCUCCAUAGGGCAGGAUGCCAGCUAACGGCUGGGCGCUAUAAGCCGCAAGGCGAAGGCGACGGAAAGUGGAACAGAGAGUAGACCGCCCAAGCCGGGGGAAACCCCGGACGGCAAGGGUGAAACGGUGGCUCCGCGCAGGCGGGGGCGGCACUGCGAAAGCGGUGCCGCGGUAAGAGCCCACCGCGCCGGCGGCAACGUUCGGCGGCACGCUAAACCCCAUCCGGAGCAAGGCCAAAUAGGGAAGCAUGGGCGUGGCCCGCGCUGCUUCCGGGUAGGCUGCUUGAGCCUGUCGGCGACGGCAGGCCUAGAGGAAUGAUUGCCACGGCCCUUCGGGGUCGCUACAGAACCCGGCUUAUCGGCCGGCUUUCCAA